GACUUGUGGUAUUUGUGGGAGAUUUUCAUAGGUGGCGUGCUGAAUUUCUUGAGCGACUUGUAGUAUUUGUGCGAGAUGUUCAUAGGUGGCGUGCAGAAUUUCUUGACCGACAUGUAGUAUUUGUGCGAGAUGGUCAUAGGUGGCAUGCUGAAUUUCUUGAGCGACUUGUAGUAUUGGAAGAUGUUCAUAGGUGGCGUGCUGAAUUUCUUGAGCGACUUGUAGUAUUUGUGGGAGAUGUUUAUAGGUGGCGUGCUGAAUUUCUUGAGCGACUUGUAGUAUUUGUAGGAGAUGUUCAUAGGUGGCGUGCUGAAUCUUGAGCGACUUGUAGUAUUUGUGGGAGAUGUUCAUAGGUGG
Long non-coding RNA from Dreissena polymorpha, 354 nucleotides. RefSeq lists it as uncharacterized. NCBI's taxonomy places the organism in Eukaryota, Metazoa, Mollusca, Bivalvia, Myida, Dreissenidae. The transcript is spliced from 3 exons. The record is from RefSeq and is a predicted model, not a curated record.